ACAUAGAAUACAUGCAGGGUAUUGUGAAAGUGUUACUGAAUUGGCAGUAGCAAAGGAAAAUCUGGCUGAAGGUGAAUCAUCGUUAUUACAGUGGGGUCCUGAAUUCAUGAGCCAGCCCCUUAAGAGCACAGAGCUCAGAGCCCAGAUGACUGAGCUACAGAGACCAAUACCUGCAGAAUGUGCUUCGUCUCUUUCUAACAUAAUUCCUCC
RNAcentral lists this long non-coding RNA (210 nucleotides) under Struthio camelus australis. Its description in RNAcentral is "lncRNA (ENSSCUG00000000637.1)". The record is from RNAcentral. Lineage: Eukaryota; Metazoa; Chordata; Aves; Struthioniformes; Struthionidae.